RNAcentral lists this ribosomal RNA (251 nucleotides) under uncultured bacterium. Its description in RNAcentral is "partial 16S ribosomal RNA". It matches the Rfam family "Bacterial small subunit ribosomal RNA", at positions 87 to 339 of the family's 1533-position model. The record is from RNAcentral.
AUGGAUUAGUGGCGAACGGGUGAGGAACACGUGAGAAACCUGCCUUUCAUUCUGGGAUAACACCGGGAAACCGGUGCUAAUACCGGAUACUCCAUCUUGGCGGCAUCGCCGAGCUGGGAAAAAAUUUUGAUGAAAGAUGGUCUCGCGGCCUAUCAGCUAGUUGGCGGGGUAAUGGCCCACCAAGGCAACGACGGGUAGCUGGUCUGAGAGGGCGACCGGCCACACUGGGACUGAGACACGGCCCAGACUCC